CGCGGCCUAUCAGCUUGUUGGUGGGGUAACGGCCUACCAAGGCGACGAUCGGUAGCUGGUGUGAGAGCAUGACCAGCCACACUGGGACUGAGACACGGCCCAGACUCCUACGGGAGGCAGCAGUGGGGAAUCUUGCGCAAUGGGCGAAAGCCUGACGCAGCGACGCCGCGUGCGGGAAGAAGGCCUUCGGGUUGUAAACCGCUUUCAGGAGGGACGAAGCCACUCGGGUUAAUAGCCCAGAGGGUGACGGUACCUCCAGAAGAAGCCCCGGCUAACUACGUGCCAGCAGCCGCGGUAAUACGUAGGGGGCAAGCGUUGUCCGGAUUUAUUGGGCGUAAAGCGCGUGUAGGCGGCCACACAGGUCCGCUGUGAAAACUGGAGGCUCAACCUCCAGAGGUCGGUGGAAACCGUGUGGCUAGAGUCCGGAAGAGGAGACUGGAAUUCCCGGUGUAGCGGUGAAAUGCGCAGAUAUCGGGAAGAACACCCGUGGCGAAGGCGGGUCUCUGGGACGGUACUGACGCUGAGACGCGAAAGCGUGGGGAGCGAACAGGAUUAGAUACCCUGGUAGUCCACGCCGUAAACGAUGGGCACUAGGUGUGGGAGGUGUCGACUCCUUCCGUGCCGAAGCUAACGCAUUAAGUGCCCCGCCUGGGGAGUACGG
RNAcentral lists this ribosomal RNA (661 nucleotides) under uncultured actinomycete. Its description in RNAcentral is "bacterial SSU rRNA". It matches the Rfam family "Bacterial small subunit ribosomal RNA", at positions 232 to 885 of the family's 1533-position model. The record is from RNAcentral. Lineage: Bacteria; Bacillati; Actinomycetota; Actinomycetes; Actinomycetales.